CAAUUUUCCUUUCAUUCAUCUUCAAAUUUUUCGUUAUUCUGAACUGAAAAAUUGGAUAAAUCUCCAAUUCUCCAUAGCUUCCGUAUGUUCAGCUCAAAAUCAGUAAUGAAAUUCAGUAAUUUCCAUUCGAUUCAUCAACAGUAGUUGAGGUUCGUCAAAAUUUUGAGCUUCCGUAAGUUCAGCUCAAGACAUUCAGAAAUUUCCUCUCAAUUCAUCAAACAGUAGCUGAAGUACGUCAAAAUUUUGAGGUUUAUGUUGGGAUGCGAAUUCCAUGUUGAUACGGGAAUAAUCUCGGAUAUGGACUUAGGAGAGUGCAUGUUGGACCCGAGCCUUAGCAUGUGCAAUUGAAGUAUAAAAGAGGCCCAAAAUGCACCCAAAUCAGCCCAUAAAUUACACUAGAUGGGUGCCCACUCUUUGAAGGGUCUUUUGGUCAUUUUAACUUAUAUUUUGUAAUAGUUAUAAAAGGAACAUUGUAGGGUUUUUAGAUUUAGUUUUUGAUGAUAUUUGUUAGUCUUGAAAGACCAAAGAACACAAGUCCUCUCUCCUUUGAGGCACCAAAACCGAAACUAGGAUACAACAAUAGGGUGGAUUCUCUUUUGUUGUUGCUUGCUUGGAAACGUUGAUGCUAGAGAGGUGCAAUCCGAUCUUGUGUCAUGUAAGAGAUAGGUCUAUUGUUGUGUCUAGUGUUAAGGGUCCAAGAGUGUCCAUUCUUGGUUUCUUGAGAUUAUACCUUCAUGUGGUCUAUCUAUCUAUCCCUUUACUUUCU
Molecule: long non-coding RNA, 766 nt
Organism: Capsicum annuum
Lineage: Eukaryota; Viridiplantae; Streptophyta; Magnoliopsida; Solanales; Solanaceae
Exons: 3
Source: RefSeq, a predicted model, not a curated record